UCAUGUGAUGGCAACAUAAUUUAUUAAUCAUCCUGGCAUUUUUCUCCUUGACAGCUCCUCAGCUGCUGUUACAUUCUUCUUCGAUGGUUGUUUACAGAAUUUCUUACCUGGUGUGGUCCGACUUGAAAUUAUUGCCAGUGUACCCAC
This 147-nucleotide long non-coding RNA is filed under the name Fukomys damarensis (Damara mole-rat). RNAcentral describes it as "lncRNA (ENSFDAG00000026328.1)". Lineage: Eukaryota; Metazoa; Chordata; Mammalia; Rodentia; Bathyergidae. The record is from RNAcentral.